UAGUCUAGUGGUUAAGGCUACGGAUGGCCAAUCCGGAGACGGCGGGUUCGAUUCCCGU
Aedes albopictus (Asian tiger mosquito) is the source of this 58-nucleotide non-coding RNA. The record is from Rfam. NCBI's taxonomy places the organism in Eukaryota, Metazoa, Arthropoda, Insecta, Diptera, Culicidae.